GGGCCCAUAGCUCAGUCAGGUAGAGCGGCCGGCUCUUAACCGGCAGGCCGGGGGUUCAAAUCCCCCUGGGCCCG
RNAcentral lists this transfer RNA (74 nucleotides) under Candidatus Caldarchaeum subterraneum. RNAcentral describes it as "tRNA-Lys". It matches the Rfam family "tRNA". From Rfam's summary of the family: Transfer RNA (tRNA) molecules are approximately 80 nucleotides in length. Their secondary structure includes four short double-helical elements and three loops (D, anti-codon, and T loops). Lineage: Archaea; Thermoproteati; Nitrososphaerota; Candidatus Caldarchaeales; Candidatus Caldarchaeaceae. The record is from RNAcentral.